CCUACGGGUGGCAGCAGUGAGGAAUAUUGGUCAAUGGACGAGAGUCUGAACCAGCCAAGUAGCGUGAAGGAUGACUGCCCUAUGGGUUGUAAACUUCUUUUAUAUGGGAAUAAAAUGUUCCACGUGUGGGAUUUUGUAUGUACCAUAUGAAUAAGGAUCGGCUAACUCCGUUCCAGCAGCCGCGGUAAUACGGAGGAUCCGAGCGUUAUCCGGAUUUAUUGGGUUUACAGGGAGCGUAGGUGGAUUGUUAAGUCAGUUGUGAAAGUUUGCGGCUCAACCGUAAAAUUGCAGUUGAAACUGGCAGUCUUGAGUACAGUAGAGGUGGGCGGAAUUCGUGGUGUAGCGGUGAAAUGCUUAGAUAUCACGAAGAACUCCGAUUGCGAAGGCAGUUCACUGGACUGCAACUGACACUGAGGCUCGAAAGUGUGGGUAUCAAACAGGAUUAGAUACCCCAGUAGUC
This 460-nucleotide ribosomal RNA is filed under the name uncultured bacterium. Its description in RNAcentral is "partial 16S ribosomal RNA". It matches the Rfam family "Bacterial small subunit ribosomal RNA", at positions 338 to 795 of the family's 1533-position model. The record is from RNAcentral.